UAUUGGGCGUAAAGAGCUCGUAGGCGGUUUGUCGCGUCUGCUGUGAAAACUGGAGGCUCAACCUCCAGCCUGCAGUGGGUACGGGCAGACUAGAGUGCGGUAGGGGAGAUUGGAAUUCCUGGUGUAGCGGUGGAAUGCGCAGAUAUCAGGAGGAACACCGAUGGCGAAGGCAGAUCUCUGGGCCGUAACUGACGCUGAGGAGCGAAAGCAUGGGGAGCGAACAGGAUUAGAUACCCUGGUAGUCCAUGCCGUAAACGUUGGGAACUAGAUGUAGGGACCAUUCCACGGUUUCUGUGUCGCAGCUAACGCAUUAAGUUCCCCGCCUGGGGAGUACGGCCGCAAGGCUAAAACUCAAAGGAAUUGACGGGGGCCCGCACAAGCGGCGGAGCAUGCGGAUUAAUUCGAUGCAACGCGAAGAACCUUACCAAGACUUGACAUAUACGAGAACGGGCUAGAAAUAGUUCACUCUUUGGACACUCGUAAACAGGUGGUGCAUGGUUGUCGUCAGCUCGUGUCGUGAGAUGUUGGGUUAAGUCCCGCAACGAGCGCAACCCUCGUUCUUUGUUGCCAGCACGUUAUGGUGGGAACUCAAAGGAGACUGCCGGGGUCAACUCGGAGGAAGGUGGGGAUGACGUCAAAUCAUCAUGCCCCUUAUGUCUUGGGCUUCACGCAUGCUACAAUGGCCGAUACAAAGGGCUGCGAUACCGCAAGGUGGAGCGAAUCCCAAAAAAGUCGGUCUCAGUUCGGAUUGAGGUCUGCAACUCGACCUCAUGAAGUCGGAGUCGCUAGUAAUCGCAGAUCAGCAACGCUGCGGUGAAUACGUUCCCGGGCCUUGUACACACCGCCCGUCAAGUCAUGAAAGUCGGUAACACCCGAAGCCAGUGGCCUAACCCGCAAGGGGAGGAGCUGUCGAAGGUGGGAU
RNAcentral lists this ribosomal RNA (922 nucleotides) under Leifsonia sp. DAB_MOR44. RNAcentral's name for it is "bacterial SSU rRNA". It matches the Rfam family "Bacterial small subunit ribosomal RNA", at positions 552 to 1468 of the family's 1533-position model. Lineage: Bacteria; Bacillati; Actinomycetota; Actinomycetes; Micrococcales; Microbacteriaceae. The record is from RNAcentral.